Long non-coding RNA from Fukomys damarensis (Damara mole-rat), 1319 nucleotides. RefSeq lists it as uncharacterized. NCBI's taxonomy places the organism in Eukaryota, Metazoa, Chordata, Mammalia, Rodentia, Bathyergidae. The record is from RefSeq and is a predicted model, not a curated record. The transcript is spliced from 4 exons.
AAGUAGAUGAGGAUAUGUAAUCCCGGACCCAGGUCGAAGGCAGCGACGGUGCUCCGGAGGACUGACCGCUGCGCCUGAUCCUCGCAGUUUAGAACCUGCUGGCAGGAUCCUGACGUCGCGGCUCGCGACAGACCUCUACUGGGGAGGUGACAACAGCCACCCCUGGCUCCCUGCGUGUCCAGGACUCUGAGCAGACCUGGCCAGUGGGCCGCAGAUCUGGGUGCUGGAGAACACAGACCUUUCAUGGACCUUCCAGCCCUGUUUGAAGCUUCACCAUCUACACAGCCUUCCACAUCUACUUCUGGCACAGGAAAAACACCGGAGCAAAGGCAAACAGAUUUCUAGCCAUUUCUGACACCAUCCCUUGCAUUUUUAAUGAUUCACAGUGUCUCCGCCUCUGUUGCUAGGACCGACAGGAACUUAAUUAUCUCCUUGUCAAGUCUCCGAGUCACAGGUAUUGAUUUGUGACCUCUGGUGGGAUCCACAGUGCUGCUUUACCUCCCUCCCAGGUCUCGCCGUUCACCCCUUCUGCCCACCAUGCCCCUUUGCUAUUCAUCUGGGAGAAUUUUGCUUGGUCUGAAAUCCCGCCCAGCCCUGGUUAUUUUGCAAACUGAAGCAGACACAUGAAACUUGGUGGAGCACUAAGGUGUGUCAUGUGUUACUCGGGAUUUGCAAGGAAGAUUUCAUUUUUUCCACAUAGAUUCUCUGAAGAACCAAUACUUUCAUUUAAUUCCAACAAUAACAAAGUAUGUCGAAUGACCUUGUUCAAUGAAGGGCAUAUAGUAAGGUACUUACCUUUCCUUGGAAAUGUGCGUGCGUGUGUGUGUGUGUGUGUGUGUGUGUGUGUGCGUGCGCGUGCACACUGGCCCAGGAAUGCUGACAGAUCCUUUGAUAAUAUUAAGUGUGAUAAUCAAGAUCUGAAAGACAGAGACCGUAGGUGGAGGGACUCUCUCCAUCUGUGGGAGUUUCCUGGUUGGGAUGUUUCCCUGAGGUGUAAGAGGUGAUAAGGACGCUGACUUAGACACAUUAAAGAUCUUGGUAAACACCAUGGAUCAUGAAAUGGUAGGUCAUUUGUCAAUUUUACAAUUAUGCAAGAAUCCCUUUUAAUAUUUUGCCAUUUUAGAUUAGCAAUUUAACUUUUUUUCCCAAUACCAAUAAACCCCCAACUCACUUCGGAAUGCCAAGCUCAACCACUUCGAGGACAUUUUCUGAGCCAUUGUGACUGGUUUUUCUUCUCACCAGUGUCCAGUGAAGACAAUGUCCUUCAGCUGACAGUGAUCCAGUGCUUGCGAGCUCCAGAUCUUGUAAUUUUCUAAAAC